UUUGUUGCAAUAAGUUUCUUUUCACUCAAAUAAUGCGUUAAAUUAAAAAAAGCAUAAAAAAUCAGAAAAAAAUUUCAAAAAAAAUUUCCACUCGAAAAUUUCCUAAGGCUUACCCCUUACGUUUUUUUUGAGAAAUUUUGCAAAAAAAAUUAAAUUGAUUUAUUUUAAUGCCAAUCGGUUGCAAUGUGUUUCUUUUCACUCAAGUAAUGUUUUAAAUAAAACAAAGAGUGAAAAAUAAUCAAAAAAUCAAAAAAUGCAAAAAAAUAAAAAUUUACUAAGGCUCAUUUUUCCACCAAGUUUUGUCUACAACUCGGUCGGUAUCCAACGGAUCGCCAAUCUUUAACCUGUGGUCGAUAGAUGGCACCAAUGGCUACAUUUUCUUCUUGGACGGCCAUGCCCUCAGAUGUCUGUGCCAGAAGUUAUUCGAGGAACCAAGUUCCAUACCCUGUUUGAGAAAAUGUAAAAUUUUCUUCAUUUUUGCACCAAGUUUUGUCUACAACUCGGUCGGUAUCCAACGGAUCGCCAAUCUUUAACCUGUGGUCGAUAGAUGGCACCAAUGGCUACAUUUUCUUCUUGGACGGCCAUGCCCUCAGAUGUCUGUGCCAGAAGUUAUUCGAGGAACCAAGUUCCAUACCCUGUUUGAGAAAAUGUAAAAUUUUCUUCAUUUUUGAGCAAUUUAGCAAAAUUUUUAAAUGCGAUAAUUUUUAUUGCGAAUUUGUUGCAAUAAGUUUCUUUUCACUCAAAUAAUGCUUUAAAUUAAAAAAAGCAUAAAAAAUCAGAAAAAAAUUUCAAAAAAAAUUUCCACUCGAAAAUUUCAUAAGGCUUACCCCAUACGUUUUUUUUGAGAAAUUUUGCAAAAAAAUUAAAUUGAUUUAUUUUAAUGCCAAUCGAUUGCAAUGUGUUUCUUUUCACUCAAGUAAUGCUUUAAAUAAAAAAAGAGUGAAAAAUAAUCAAAAAAUCAAAAAAUGCAAAAAAAUAAAAAUUUACUAAGGCUCAUUUUUGCACCAAGUUUUGCCUAUAACUCGGUCUGUAUAUAACGGAUCGCCAAUCUUCAACCUGUGGUCGAUAGAUGGCACCAAUGGCUACAUUUUCUUCUUGGACGGCCAUGCCAUCAGAUGUCUGUGCCAGAAGUUAUUCGAGGAACCAAGUUCCAUACCCUGUUUGAGAAAAUGUAAAAUUUUCUUCAUUUUUGCACCAAGUUUUGCCUAUAACUCGGUCGCUAUCCAACGGAUCGCCAAUCUUUAACCUGUGGUCGAUAGAUGGCACCAAUGGCUACAUUUUCUUCUUGGACGGCC
Long non-coding RNA from Anopheles funestus (African malaria mosquito), 1295 nucleotides. RefSeq lists it as uncharacterized. The record is from RefSeq and is a predicted model, not a curated record. Lineage: Eukaryota; Metazoa; Arthropoda; Insecta; Diptera; Culicidae. The transcript has 3 exons.